AUACGGAGGAUGCGAGCGUUAUCCGGAUUUAUUGGGUUUAAAGGGUGCGUAGGCGGUCGGGUAAGCGUAGGGUGAAAGUCCUCUGCUCAACAGAGGAAGUGCCUUCCGAACUGUCCGACUGGAAUGCUCCUGCCGUGGGAGGAAUGUGUGGUGUAGCGGUGAAAUGCAUAGAGAUCACACAGAACACCGAUUGCGAAGGCAUCUCACGAAGGGGCUAUUGACGCUGAGGCACGAAAGCGUGGGGAUCAAGCAGGAUUAGAUACCCUGGUAGUCCGCACAGUAAACGAUGAAUACUUGUUUUCGGCGAUAUAAUGUCGGAGGCAAAGCGAAAGCGAUAAGUAUUCCACCUGGGGAGUACGCCGGCAACGGUGAAACUCAAAUGAAUUGGCGGGG
This 393-nucleotide ribosomal RNA is filed under the name uncultured bacterium. Its description in RNAcentral is "partial 16S ribosomal RNA". It matches the Rfam family "Bacterial small subunit ribosomal RNA", at positions 523 to 918 of the family's 1533-position model. The record is from RNAcentral.